This is a long non-coding RNA of Etheostoma cragini (Arkansas darter), 527 nucleotides long. RefSeq lists it as uncharacterized. The record is from RefSeq and is a predicted model, not a curated record. NCBI's taxonomy places the organism in Eukaryota, Metazoa, Chordata, Actinopteri, Perciformes, Percidae. The transcript has 4 exons.
UGUGUAUGUAUAUUUACUUUUUUUUCUGUCCUGGUGCUGGGAAAGUAUUAUCAUCAGGCUUAAAUCAUUUAUAAGAAUAUUGUUUUACUUUGCUUUAAGAAAAAGUACAAACUGAGGUUGCAUGCUCAACCAUUUUGCACUAUUAAAUCGAGAAAUUGACAAUCACUGACAUGUUAGGAGGACAAAAGUUGCACUGUAAAAUGUAGUUUACUGCUUCCUCUUGGUGUUAAUAAUAAUAAUUAAAAGUUAUACUUUCAAUUUUUUUACUGAGAGUAAACGUGUUGCAGAUUAAAAAAAAAGGAUUUCAGAGUGUAAUAAAUGCAACUUAACAUUAAUAUUAUAAAUACAAUGUUAUUAUUUCCUCAGUAAGCACACAAUUGGACCUUAAUGUUUUCUUAGUAAAACAGGAUCAGGCUGGACUAGUUGCUUUAUAUAUUUCAGGAGAAUUUGUUCCUAUUAUUUUGAAGAUUGAAUAUGAAAAUGCUCUUUUGUAUCUCCCAGCAUCUUUAAGAACGGACGUGCUGUUU